GCAAAAGUAUCUUAUUGGGGAUCCUUGUGUAUCUGAGGUCUUUCAGGGCAAGUCUGCAUAGGCUGAAUAGGAGCCAAAGCAGCAGCCUUCCAAAGGUAGGAUUACCUGGCUUUUGCUUUUCUUUAGAAUUUCUGACCAUCCUAGAUGUUUAAUACUCUUGGAGGUAAAUGAUGUUUAAAUCACUUCUAGAACAAUAUCCUGAGAGAGACAGUAGAUAGCCUAACUUAUUUGCUAUGGGGGCCAUAGAGUAUGUUUGACAACAGGGUAACUGAAUCUCUCUUGUGUUAUGGGAUAUUGAAGAAAACCAUCCCUCAAAGAGAGGAAACAGACAAAUCUCAUUACACAGGUAAAAUCUACUUGCAGUAAUAUUUAAAUGAUAUUUUAAAUCGCAUAUUGUAUAUUAAAUAUAAUAAUUUGCUAAAAAUGUACAUCUAGAACUAAAUACUGCUUCUAAUUAUUUUUACAAAAAACACUGGUGUUAAAGAUUCAUUUUAAUUUAACAAAUGUUAUAGUUAAAUUAAUAAUGUAAACAGUUUUCUUGGAGGUUUUUUUUUUUUGUAAUGUUGCUAAGUAUAACUAUGAAC
RNAcentral lists this long non-coding RNA (584 nucleotides) under Gallus gallus (chicken). Lineage: Eukaryota; Metazoa; Chordata; Aves; Galliformes; Phasianidae. The record is from RNAcentral.